Molecule: long non-coding RNA, 5765 nt
Filed under: Lynx canadensis (Canada lynx)
Lineage: Eukaryota; Metazoa; Chordata; Mammalia; Carnivora; Felidae
Description: lncRNA (ENSLCNG00005017430.1)
Source: RNAcentral
ACCGGGGAGCUCGCCGGGCAAAGACCUUCCCGUGUGCGGGUACCAGACGCAACAAUCCCCCUCGUAUGCAGGUGUCAGGCUCCCUCCCAGGCGCAGGGGCGUGGCCUGAGGAAGUGAGUGGAAGUGACGGAGUUGGGCGGGAGUGAGAGGACUUCCGGACUGGGCGGGGCUAGCCAGCAGCUGGAAGCGGGACCUGCUUGGCGGCGUGCGGGACUCGGCUGGCUCAGGAUGAGAAAGGGAUCCGGAAGGGUGGAAAGGAAAGGAGGGCUAGGGAGUCAUCUUUGUCCCUUUUCCGGAGCGGAACGCCGCUUUGAGGGAAAAGCGCCUCGCCCUGAAAAUACAAACCCAGAGCCCAGGCAGCGGGUCGUCGUGGGGCCAGCACCCCUCGGGGCUCCGGUCGUGUCCUGAGGCACUCGGGACUGUCCGGACCCCUGGGCCCUUGCUUCAAGAGUUGGCAGUGAUCGGGCAUAUUUAGGGACAAUACUUGUGAUUUCCGGGGCUCAGCACCUGCUCUUGGAUCUUCUCAAGGCCUGCUAGAUUUCAGAAUCUCAAAGGUUUGGCCACUGCACUCCCAACCCCUAAGGAAAGGAUGGGAGAUGAAUUAUUAAAGGACACCGGGGCCAUUAGCAUAUCGGGCCUCACCUCUCUGGGGCCCUUGCCCUUGAGCAACUGAAUGUUUUAUUGAAGAGGAAAAAACAUGCACGAAAAAGGUACGGAACUGAGAGGGAAGGAAGAUGUUAUUGACCACAGACCCCAGUAUUGGAUUUCUCCCAUAUUUAAGCAACGAGGGGCAGAGUUAAGCCCUUUUGGAAUGGUAAUUUCACAGAAGGAAAGCAGAAAAGACCUAGUUAAUACUGGAUACAACAUGAAAUUAAAAACGGCUUCUGGGAAUCACCGCAAUGGUCGGAGCCUGUGAACAAUGACAAAGUUGGAAGGACUUCGGGACUGUCAAUGCCCGGGAAGGCCACAGGAGGGCAGCAGUGCCCCGUCAUGGAAAGGCUGACGGCUUCAGUUUAGUGCAACCUUUUUUUUUAAUUUUUAUUUUUUAUGUUUAUUUACUUUUAAGAAUGAGAGAGAGCGUGAGCAGGAGAGGGGCAGAGAGAAGGAGACACAGAAUCCAAAGCAGGCUCCAAGCUCCAAGCUGUCAGCACAGAGCCUGACAUGGGGCUCAAACUCAUGGAACAUGAGAUCAUGACCUGAGCCAAAGUGGGACGCCUAACAGACUGAGCCACCCAGGCGCCCCAUAGUGUAACCUUUUCUGAAAUGAACCUGGAAAUGAUGAAAGCAACCAUGCGUAAGGGGGGAGGAAAUGCAUGGACACUCAAUUUUUACAUCUUUCUGGAAGUCAGUAGACUAUGUUAAAAUCCUGCUCUUAAGUAAAAAUAUGCAAAUUUGUAAAAGAUCUAAGAAAGUGCAUUCUUGGUUAAAAUUAAGUUUAACUGUCAGACAUUAUUAAGAUUUCAAAUACCAGAGCGGUUGUUUCUUUAAAGCUAGAGUAUUCUGUAACAAUGCAAAUUCCGAUUUGUGCCCAUCCUCUCCCUCUUCAGCAUUGUUUGAGAAGACUUUUGGUAGUCACCUUUUCACCUUAAAAGCUCCCCUGGUUACCAAAAAAAAAAAAAAAAAAAAAAAAAAAAAAAAAAACCAAAAACCAAAAAACAACAACAAAAAAAACUUCCUUGUAUAUUUUAUACCAAUUUAAAAAAUAUGCUACACUCUCAAUCUAAAGCCAUAUACAAUUUAAUAAGUUAUUUUCUAUAUUUAUAAACAACCUAACUUUCAUCCAGAGCUGUUAUCAGAAAGAUUGCCUCUGUUUUUUUCAAACCACAAAAAGUCUUGUUUUGUUAACCAGGCAAUAACAUUUUAAGUUUCAAACUGUAUUGUGAUAUAAUAUGCUCAAUUAAAACAAACAGCAUUUUGUAAAUAUAAGCCUUUACGUCCUGUUUUUAUUAGUUUAUGUGUAGAAAUUGGCUAUGGAGCUUGAGAAUCACUAAUGCAGAGGUUCUAAACCAUAGCUGCAUUAUUAGAAUCGCUUGAGAAACUUAGAAAAAAUGGCAAUGCCAAAGCAUCAUCCCAGAUCAAUGACAUGAGAAACUUAUGGAGGGUGGGACCCAGGCAUCAGCAAAACUCCCCAGGCAAUUCCAACGUGCAGCCAUGAUACUAAAAAUACUGAGGUCUGAUCUCAGACAUGUAGCAAUCUGAUUUAAUUCGAAUCUGCAAAAAAGACCAAGAAAACUUUUUGUGUAAACAAAAGCAAACCCUGUUAUUACACAAAUCAAGCUUUCUACUUUCAUCAUUGGGGCUUGGGUUUGUAAGCACUUAAUCAUACCCACGCACUGACGUGAUGUGGAAGGUAUAUCUGCCACCAGAUACAGGCAUAUAGACACCCGGUUAACUCAAGGUUCGGUAACAUCACAAAGGCUCUAAGAGCUGGGCAAGUCGGGAGAAGCUUCACGGAAUGGGCAGUAGGAGCUGAGCCUUGGGGAAGAUGUCCAGGACCCGGCCAGGACUAGAAGUGCUACAGGCGACAGUGAACCAGGAACACAGCCCAGCACGUGGGGCAGACGGUCCGCUCGACGGACAAUAGGUUCUUUGAAGAAAUGGAGAAGUCUUCGGAAGAGAAGUUGGGAUUUAAUUGUAGAAAGCUUCAGGGUGCCUGCGAGAAACCUUGCACUUGACGCUGUGCGCCUGUGACUGAACACCUCUGAGCAGGAGAGGCCCAGGACGGGCUGGGCGAGGAGCCUGGACACAUUCAAGGCUCUGCAAUGUGAGGGGCUGCAGUGGAAUGCGUAGAGAAGUCAGGCCAAGUACAAGCAUGCUCUGCUCUGAGCUAAAACACACUGGAAAUGAACGCAUCGUCACAAAUGAACAUUCUCCCAAUCUUGGAUUUUAUUUUUCACAACACUUGAAGAUCCCAUUUUCAAAAUAUGAACAAUAAAGACCCACCCCCCCACGGGACUUCUCAUUUCACUGCAAAUAUUCUUCCGGUUUUAGCAACCUUUCACAUAUGCUGCUUUCCACGUCAUUAGAGAAACUUUUCAUUUUAUCCCAUAUAUAUAAAUGUAUAUAAUGGCAUAUAUAAUUGCCAUUAUUUGAAAAACAAAAUUUAUAUUUACAUAUCGAGAGCAAUUUUGUAUAAAUAUACAAAAUAAAAAAAAUAAAUUUGAAGCAGAAACUAGUAUAAAAGUCUGUUUUGGAAAAACAACGUAACAAUAACAUAACAAUUUUUUUGGAAAAUAGCAUAACAAUCUUUGGUUGCAAAAGAGUCAACUGGGCUUGUUAAAAAUCAACAGUACAGCCAUCUCUUGUUUCUGAGCAAGUGCUACAUCCCUGAAAAGUAUGUGAAAAUGGGUAUAGUAAAACUUCAACUCUGUACUUAAUUCAAAAUUCCUGUUUCUUUCUGCUCAAGCGUAUCUUCCCAAAGUACCUCACCGAUCCCUCAGGGAGGGGACACUUACAGUGCAUCAUAAACAUGCUUUAUCCAUAAAACAAUACUUGUAAAACAUGAUUCCCAAUCAUGUCCUUCUCAAGGCAGCGUUUCUUUGGCCUAACUUCUGCUACUAACUAUAAAAGUGCGAAACAAAAUUUGCAAAACCGUAAUCUGAAUGUGAGCGGCUGUCCCUCCUCUCUGCCCAGUGGUUUGUUUGAAAGAGACCCUGCUUGAUGUGAGGACUCAGCGAGGUCACGGUCUGUUCCACCCCAGCAUCCGGUGCUAGCACAGCUGUUUUGCUUUUUUUGGUUCCUUUGUUCCACCGACAGCAGAUACUGUUUCCUUUCCUGAAAUGCAUGGCUUAAUUUUUACUGUGCGUUUAGCAGAUAUGGUAAGAUGCACAUAAAAACUAAGAUUCCGGGGGCACCUGGGUGGCUCAGUCCGUUAAGCUCAGGUCGCGAUCUUGCGGUUUGUGGGUUCAAGCCCUGUGUCAGCCUCUCUGCUUUCAGCAAGGAGCCUAUUUUGGAUUCUCUGUCCCCCUCUCUCUGCCCCUUCCCAGUUCAUUCUCUCUCUCUCUCUCUCAAAAGUAAGUAACAGUAAAAAAACAAAAACAAAAACAAAAACAACUAAGAUUCUGAUACAACCUGAGGUUAUUGGAUGGAGAUGUUCCUGCCAAACUCACUACUCUUCUAUGACAUUGUUUAAAGUAAGACAUGUCCUUAUUCAAGUACAGGGAGAAAUUCACCCAUUGCUGGAAUUUAGAGUGGAAUCUAACUUUCUUAAAGAGCGAAAUCCUCUUCGAGAAGACUACAGGCCACAGGUUCACUCUGUGCCCCCGCCCAGCACUGCUAUGAGUGUGAGAGCUCUCUAACGUACAGAAGUUUCUGACUGAUUCUGAAUUCCUAACUGAUUUCUCACUGUUAUUGUUGUUUGAAAAAGUGAAGAACAAAGGCCAUAAACUUUAUAGCUUCCUUCGGUCACCAAGAUAUUAUAAAUAGCUAAAAAGUAUAUAGAAUUCUACCCUAUUUACUUUGAGUAUUUCUCAAUAAUAUUCUUAGUUCAGGAGGUCAAACUUGUUCACAUUCCCAGUUUUCAGUGUUCUUGUUUCUAAUGUUUUUUUUUUUUUUUUUAAUUUUUUUUUUUUCAACGUUUAUUUAUUUUUGGGACAGAGAGAGACAGAACAUGAACAGGGGAGGGGCAGAGAGAGAGGGAGACACAGAAUCGGAAACAGGCUCCAGGCUCUGAGCCAUCAGCCCAGAGCCCGACGCGGGGCUCGAACUCACGGACCGCGAGAUCGUGACCUGGCUGAAGUCGGACGCUUAACCGACUGCGCCACCCAGGCGCCCCGCUUGUUUCUAAUGUUUAAGGGCUGAGGUAGAAUAUAUAUAUUUGUAAAUGCAUUUAACACCCAACCAUAUAUAAAACACAUUUUAGAGUUGUUGAAAGAAUGAAUCUUAAGACUUGGCAUUACUCUGUGAACAAAAGAGACUUUAAAAUAACUUUCUUUUUUUUUAUUUUUUUUUAACAUUUAUUUAUUUUUGAGACAGGGAGAGACAGAGCACGAACAGGGGAGGGUCAGAGAGAGGGAGACACAGAAUCUGAAACAGGCUCCAGGCUCUGAGCUGUCAGCACAGAGCCCGACGCGGGGCUCGAACUCACGGACCGCGAGAUCGUGACCUGAGCCGAAGUCGGCCGCUUAACCGACUGAGCCACCCAGGCGCCCCUAAAAUAACUUUCUUUACAAAUGUAAUGUAAUUUAUUUUGGACGAUAGUUCCCUAGAUGUGGAGAUUUAGUUUAAAAAUUGUUUCCCCAUCUAAAUACUCCCAGGGGUAUUGUACAGAGUUGCCUUAUAAAUACAAGUGUUAUUUAAGGGAAAACAGGCCAGAUGUUCAUACCCAAAUGCAUACACCAUUCAAAGCAGCAUCAAAGGGUGAUGAUUACACUCAAACCACAUUGAAAUGUCAGCCUUAUGGCUUAAUGGUUGCAUCAUGAGAGUACAAGCACUAGAGAACAGCUUCUGUAGAUCUUAAGAUUUUAAUUGUAUCGAAAGAUAAAGUGAUGCCCUCAUUCGCAGAAACCACUUGGUACAUCUGCUCUGCCUCAGUGGUUGAUCUAUUCCAGUAAGUGGUAUAUUCACCUCUAACCUCUGUUUCAAUAAAAGGCAAGGUAUACAGAUAGCAUAAUUUAGUACAGGAAUUAAAUCCAGAGGCUUAGUAGGAAAAUGGACAACUAAAAACAUAUAUUUGUAGUAGCAAGAGACCCUGAUCUAGGAAAUAAAUGAUUCUUUUCAAAGUAAUUUCACAUGUCGGGGUGCCUGGGUGGCUCAGUAGGUUAAGC